Molecule: long non-coding RNA, 149 nt
Organism: Thalassophryne amazonica
Lineage: Eukaryota; Metazoa; Chordata; Actinopteri; Batrachoidiformes; Batrachoididae
Exons: 4
Source: RefSeq, a predicted model, not a curated record
AAUAAAUGUUGCAAAUUAUUUCCUGACCGAAAAUGAUUCUGUUCUGUGUGCCGACGCGGCCCGGAGGACCCGAACCAGCGUAUGACCAGACCCAGUGUUAAAAGAACAGAGAGCGGUUCAAAGAAAACAGAUUUAUUAACCAACUGUGU